GCAGUGAUGGGGGGCUUGGGGAGGCGACCGCUGAGGUGUUGGGGGUGACCGUUGAGGUUGGGAGGUUUGGGUGGCGACCACUGAUGGGGGGCCGGGGUGCUCACAGGGUGGCCAUCACACUGGAAGCCCCGAGGGUUUUCCCCCUGUGAGCCCCUGUGCUUAUCCCCUGUGUUUGUAAUAAAAACGCAAUAAAAAAGCACGGGGGUGCUUGCGAGGGGUGGUGGAGGUGGGAGAGAGCUGGUGGGUUUCUUUCAGCAAUUGUAGGGGUGGAGGGGUCAGGGAUGGAGGCUGGGUCGAGUCCAAGUGAAGGAGCCCCGGCUGGUUGUGCAGCCUGUGAGCGAGCUGUAAGUCGCGGUUUGCAGGCUCGCGGUUUGCAGGCACGCGGGUCUGCAACGCUUGGCCAAGCCCGCCGAGUCCCACCACGCUGCUUCUCUCGCCCACAGAAGUCCUACGAGCACUUGGCAAAAAUACGAGUCGCGAGAGAAGUGCCUCCAGAAUGCAGCUGCCCACCAGAUGAAAUUAGUCAGUGAAUUUGACCUGGAUUCAUUAAUCCUUUCAAUAUGACUGAAACCACAUGUUUACUGAAGAAAACCCUGUCUGCGUGAGCUGAAUGCCCUUGUCUUGGAUGUAAAUGGAGAAAAAAGAAUAGUGCUAUGGAGUAGUCACUGCUUCACAAGAUCAGGUCCAGCACUACUGUCAUGCAGUUAGGAGUGAGAAUUGGAAGAGCAAUUUGUCCAAAUUUCUCACGCACAUUCUCUAGUGUAGCACGUUGUGUAUAUACUGCUGAAAGCACUGUGCUCUUGAGAGAUUUUCUUUAUUUAGGUUCAGUAGUUUUCUUAUCCUCCUACGGUUGAUAACUUCACAGAGAAACUUGAGCCCAGAUGAGUAGAACAGGAAGUGUUUUAAAUCUUGUGGAUAUGAAGGAUGAUAGUGUUGCUGUUUCAUGUUAGCUUGAUGCUGAAGAAUUUACUUUUGUUUUUAAAAUACAUACUAAUAAUAUGCUGCCUUUGCUGUUGCAUUCCACGGGGUUGUCUGUCUGUGCACGUGCACAUAGGUGUGACAAAUUCCUUUAUUGUAUUCUUAUUUUUUUUUCUUCAGAUUGUAUGCUAUGAUCAGCUUUAGGUGCUAAGCUGAUUUUAAAUCAUCUGAACUUUUGCCUCUUCAAUCACUGGCUAUUUAGCUCACAUUUCCCUAACAUGUAGUUUAAACUUAUCUUUUGAUUAAUGCUGCCACAAAAUGUGCAGGUGCACUUGGGUUUUUGCAUGUUUUACUUCAGUGGGUGGGUACAAGGUUACAAGAACUGAUGUGCAGAUGUGUGUUUUUUUUGAAUGUAUACAAGCAUAUAUGUGCUCGUCCAUGGAGCUACAUAGAAAAUGAGUUGUCAUUCUGUGAUUGGGAAGGGAAGAAAAGCAGAGGAGGCUGACCUCCUCAUUACAUCACGUCAAUAUUUUGUUCAAGGUAUGGACGCAUCCAGGUAUGUUCAUGAUGUAAUGCCUCGAUCCUCCUAGCACUGUGAAAAUCGUACGUAUUUUUGCUCUUCUCCCUUCAUCUGAAAUUAAUUCAUGGGUUUUCAGAACCUUUUGUGCGAAGUCUAGUGCAUAUUUUCCUCUGCUAGAUCAGUGAGAGUCAAAGUGAACCCCGCUGAAGUCUGACACAACUAGGAGGAGAGGACAAACGGUUAUUAACUGUUUUGCUCCGGAACUGAAGCAUGCCAUUGCCUUUCCACAGGCUGUGGGCAGGUAUGCCGUCACUAGUCACAAGACAGAAUUUCCACUGCCUUUCAGUAAGAGUAGAAUGGCUUUGCCUUUGUGGCAGUGUCUGGCUGUAUUUCUAGAUAGAAAAUUGUGUACUGUUUACACCUUGUGGCAGAGUGCUUCUGCCAGUUGUGGUGUGUGCAGGUUGUGUUUUAGUAGUAAGGAUGUGGAUAAACUUUUUACCUUGAGUGCUUAACGUGAGGCACGCCAGCUCCAUGACACUUACAUAAGCAGCUGAUUUCCCUUUGAAAUCAAUAAGAACACUUUGAAAAUAUGUCUUUUGAUGUAUGCUUAAAUGCCUAACACUUGGCAUCUAAAGUUUAAAGAACUAUACUGCCAUUGACAUCUAUAGCAUGUGUGUCGGAUCAAAGGCCCUACCUUCUGGGACCUGCCUAAAUAGAUUCACGGCAGAAGAAAGUAUCUGAGCACUAGGUACUUUUAUCAGCAGUGUAAUCUUUCACAGGGACAUGAGUUUUUCAGAAGGAUCUUUUUUUCAGGGGAGGAGUCAGAAAAGAGGCAUGUGUUCUUGGUGUUGGAAGCCUGCUUGUGCCUUACAUGCUGACCUUUUUCAGGAACAGUCCAUCCAUACAUAAAGGAAUGCAGUGCUGACAAGUUCAAUGUAGUUUGGCUGAACUUCCUUAAAAGAGGCAACUGGGGAGGGGAAAAAAAAAAGAUGCAGGGGCUGCUUUUUUUCUCACAAACACUUAAACUUUCUUAUGUUUUGUUUUGUUUGUCAUUGGAUGUGACUUAAAGGCAAUCUUUUAUUUUUUCCUCCCCUCCCUUUGUUUUAUUUCCUUUGACUGUAUAAAACUUGUGCAAUAAAUUCUGUUGCAGUGAAUUCUGUUUGGCUCA
Molecule: long non-coding RNA, 2606 nt
Organism: Anser cygnoides (Swan goose)
Lineage: Eukaryota; Metazoa; Chordata; Aves; Anseriformes; Anatidae
Source: Ensembl